AGAUGCGAGAUUCGAGGUAGAAUCUAAUGACCGUAGAUCAGAAGGGGAGUUUUAAGAUUUCAAAAAUUCUUUUAAUGGAGGUCUUCCCACAUGCCGACGAGAGGAUCGUAGAGAAUUAUUCGAGCGAUCAACCCAUUGGUUCGACUCUAUCAGAGUAGACUUAUUUGAAUAUUCAGGCAGUUUACAAAUAGAGGUGUUUCUUGAUUGGUU
Molecule: long non-coding RNA, 210 nt
Filed under: Elaeis guineensis (African oil palm)
Lineage: Eukaryota; Viridiplantae; Streptophyta; Magnoliopsida; Arecales; Arecaceae
Description: long non-coding RNA (EGUI_LNC012563)
Source: RNAcentral